AUUGAACGCUGGCGGCAGGCCUAACACAUGCAAGUCGAGCGGAUGAAGGGAGCUUGCUCCUGGAUUCAGCUGCGGACGGGUGAGUAAUUCCUAGGAAUCUGCCUGGUAUUUGGGGAUAACGUCCGUAAACGGGCGCUAAUACCGCAUACGUCCUUAGGUAGAAAGUGGGGGAUCUUCGGACCUCACGCUAUCAGAUGAGCCUAGGUCGGAUUAGCUAGUUGGUGGGGUAAAGGCCUACCAAGGCGACGAUCCGUAACUGGUCUGAGAGGAUGAUCAGUCACACUGGAACUGAGACACGGUCCAGACUCCUACGGGAGGCAGCAGUGGGGAAUAUUGGACAAUGGGCGAAAGCCUGAUCCAGCCAUGCCGCGUGUGUGAAGAAGGUCUUCGGAUUGUAAAGCACUUUAAGUUGGGAGGAAGGGCAGUAAGUUAAUCCCUUGCUGUUUUGACGUUACCAACAGAAUAAGCACCGGCUAACUUCGUG
RNAcentral lists this ribosomal RNA (484 nucleotides) under uncultured bacterium. RNAcentral's name for it is "partial 16S ribosomal RNA". It matches the Rfam family "Bacterial small subunit ribosomal RNA", at positions 30 to 507 of the family's 1533-position model. The record is from RNAcentral.